UUCCGGUGUUGGUCGCUGCCGCUGCUUGCAAUGAGCAAGCGGAAGGUGCUGCAGGAGAGCCUCAACCAGGGCAUCGCAGACUUCUUCAUGGAGCUAGCGAAUUACGAGCGCGACGUGAACCGAGCCAUCCAUAAGUACGACGCGUACAGAUACGGCCUCCUUCCUCAGGGCUGCUUUUUUCACUUCCCCGCCGGAGCGCCCCGCUCCCGUCUCUCGGGGGCCCGGCCCUGGCUCGCCGCAGGGCUGAGCACGCUGCUCGGUUCUGGACGCUGACCGACGCCGGGGAAAACGGCCUCUGUCGUUUCCCGGUACCCCAGCAGAAUACGGAGUGGAGCCGAAGCUAAGAAACUGGAUGGAGUAGAUGCUAAAAUAGCUGAGAAAAUAGAUGAGUUUUUAUCUACCGGACAGCUUCGCAAAUUGGAAAAGAUUCGACAAGAUGAUACAAGUGCUUCCAUCAACUUCCUGACAUGAGUUACUGGCAUUGGGUAAAGCUUAGUUAUUAGUGGUGGGGGGGAAGUAGUUGUCAGAAUUGUAAGAACUGCCAGUUAUAGAUUUUGCAGUAGAGGAGUGGAAGUAGAAAGCUCCUGUGUGCAAGCUGAGAGGGGAAGGAGAGGGGUAGGUGAUCAAAAACUGAAUCAAAAGAUUGAGAAAAGUAGAAUCAAGAAGGCAGAGUAGGAGCCUAUGAGUCUUAUGUGCAAAAUCUGAUUAGGGAGAGUAGUAUUUGCAUCAUGUUUGUAAAAGGAAAUCCAGAGCCCUGCCAACCCUCAAAAACAGGGCUUUUCAGAAAGAUCAUAUUAGGAGGUCUAAUUCUCUCAAGGCCUGUUCUCAUUCCUAUUCUGUGCACUGGGAAAUUUUGGCAGAAAAGAGCUCAGUUUACAGACAGGCACUUAACUUAGCAUGUGCAUAGCUGCAGAAUUCAAUAUCUUGAGUGAGAAGGGCUGUGAUACUGCUCACCAAGAACAGGAUAGGCUAAAUAUAGAACACUUGUGCUUAAAAUCAGAACAGAGUGGAAUGCUGUGGGGAAGAAGAGGGGAAAAGCAAUUGUCACAGAAUUAUCCGAGUCUGUGACAAAGGGCAAAAAGCCCUGGAAAACAAACAAAACAAAACCAAAAAAAACGAGAGAGGGGAAAACUACCCUCCCUCUUUUCUUUCAGCUUAGCUACCUAGACCUGAGGCAGGCCCUGCACUUAGGGAGAGGAAGAGAGGAGGAGAGGGGAUGGGUAGAAAGAUAGCAGAUAGGUCUAAAAAAAAAAAAAAAAAAAA
Molecule: non-coding RNA, 1263 nt
Organism: Phasianus colchicus (ring-necked pheasant)
Lineage: Eukaryota; Metazoa; Chordata; Aves; Galliformes; Phasianidae
Source: RefSeq, a predicted model, not a curated record